This 1028-nucleotide small RNA is filed under the name Pongo abelii (Sumatran orangutan). RNAcentral's name for it is "retained intron". Lineage: Eukaryota; Metazoa; Chordata; Mammalia; Primates; Hominidae. The record is from RNAcentral.
CCCGUCCCCGUCUCUCGUAUUUGUGGUCUCCUUGUCUCCUCUCUUUCUCUCCCCUUUUUCCCUUCCCCCUUCUCUGUCUCUUGCUUGGUGUUGGUUUUCUGUGUGUCUCUGUGUGUCCCCGUGCCACCCCCUGUGCUGUGCCCCAAAACUCUGCCUGGCUGGUGCCUGGCUUCUCUCUUGAGGGCAUCUGUCACCUCUUCUGCUUGGUCAUCUGGUCAUCUGUGUUCCUCUUUUUUUCUUCCUGGCCCCACCUUGCUUUCUCUACCCUCCUCUCCCGAUCCCCCACUUCUCCCUCUCUCCCCUGGGCCCCGAUGUCUUGGACUCUCCUACCAGUGGCGCUUGAGGCUACAAGUCCAAGUAUCUUCAGCUCAAGAAGAAGUUAGAAGAUGAGUUCCCCGGCCGCCUGGACAUCGUGAGUCUUGGGAUGGGGAGAAAGACUUGAGCACAGCCACUGGGUCGGUCCGUUAGGCCUGGAUGGCACUGCAGGGGGGUUAGUGCGGCGAGGGAACUCCCCAGGCCACCGGGUUCUUUGAAGUGAUGGUAGCCGGGAAGUUGAUUCACUCUAAGAAGAAAGGCGAUGGCUACGUGGACACAGAAAGCAAGUUUCUGAAGCUGGUGGCCGCCAUCAAAGCCGCCUUGGCUCAGGGCUAAUGCGCCCUGAAGGCAGAGUCCAGGGACCUUGACCCAGCCCCUCUCAGCAGACGCUUCAUGAUAGGAAGGACUGAAAAAUCUUGUGGACACCUGGUCUUUCCCUGAUGUUCUCGUGGCUGCUGUUGGGGGCAGAGAUUGACGCCCCUGGUCUUUGCCUCUGUGUGAGAGAGUCUGUGUGUAUGUGUCUUCCCCGGAAUCCACACCACCCCACCCUCCUCCUGUCCCGUGGUUUCAUCAUAUCUCUUUGCAUACCCCAUGUCUUCCCCAGUUGUCCCCUGGAGUUUGGGGGGACAUCCCGCCUCAGGCAUCCUUCUCAAGGGGAAGCCAAGAGAGGCAUCAGGAUGGGUGGGUUUCUGAUUGUGGCGACGUUUGCAACC